GGGCCCGCACAAGCGGUGGAGCAUGUGGUUUAAUUCGAUGCAACGCGAAGAACCUUACCAGGGUUUGACAUCCUGCGAAUCUCUUGGAAACGAGAGAGUGCCUUCGGGAACGCAGUGACAGGUGGUGCAUGGCUGUCGUCAGCUCGUGUCGUGAGAUGUUGGGUUAAGUCCCGCAACGAGCGCAACCCACGUCUUUAGUUGCCAGCAUUUAGUUGGGCACUCUAGAGAGACUGCCGGUGAUAAACCGGAGGAAGGUGUGGAUGACGUCAAGUCAUCAUGCCCCUUACAUCCUGGGCUACACACGUACUACAAUGCUACGGACAAAGGGCUGCAAGUUCGCGAGGACAAGCAAAUUCCAUAAACCGUGGCUCAGUUCGGAUUGGAGUCUGCAACUCGACUCCAUGAAGGCGGAGUCGCUAGUAAUCCCGGAU
RNAcentral lists this ribosomal RNA (431 nucleotides) under uncultured bacterium. RNAcentral's name for it is "bacterial SSU rRNA". It matches the Rfam family "Bacterial small subunit ribosomal RNA", at positions 917 to 1349 of the family's 1533-position model. The record is from RNAcentral.